This 468-nucleotide ribosomal RNA is filed under the name uncultured bacterium. RNAcentral describes it as "partial 16S ribosomal RNA". It matches the Rfam family "Bacterial small subunit ribosomal RNA", at positions 28 to 507 of the family's 1533-position model. The record is from RNAcentral.
GACGAACGCUGGCGGCGUGCUUAACACAUGCAAGUCGAACGGAAAGGCCCUGCUUUGGUGGGGUGCUCGAGUGGCGAACGGGUGAGUAACACGUGAGUAACCUGCCCUUGACUUUGGGAUAACUUCAGGAAACUGGGGCUAAUACCGGAUAGGAGCCCCUGCUGCAUGGUGGGGGUUGGAAAGUUUCGGCGGUUGGGGAUGGACUCGCGGCUUAUCAGCUUGUUGGUGGGGUAGUGGCUUACCAAGGCUUUGACGGGUAGCCGGCCUGAGAGGGUGACCGGCCACAUUGGGACUGAGAUACGGCCCAGACUCCUACGGGGGGCAGCGGUGGGGAAUAUUGCACAAUGGGCGGAAGCCUGAUGCAGCAACGCCGCGUGCGGGAUGACGGCCUUCGGGUUGUAAACCGCUUUCGCCUGUGACGAAGCGUGAGUGACGGUAAUGGGUAAAGAAGCACCGGCUAACUACGUG